GCUCCUAUUCUGAUGAAUUCAUAGUUCAAAUGAUUAAGUGAUUACACUGCAUUUUGUCUUUCGCUCCUAACUGAAUAUUCCG
Small nucleolar RNA from Coccinella septempunctata (seven-spotted ladybird), 82 nucleotides. RefSeq annotates it as small nucleolar RNA snR60/Z15/Z230/Z193/J17. The transcript has a single exon. Lineage: Eukaryota; Metazoa; Arthropoda; Insecta; Coleoptera; Coccinellidae. The record is from RefSeq and is a predicted model, not a curated record.